RNA transcript from Zea mays, 777 nucleotides. RefSeq lists it as uncharacterized. The transcript is spliced from 2 exons. The record is from RefSeq and is marked validated. NCBI's taxonomy places the organism in Eukaryota, Viridiplantae, Streptophyta, Magnoliopsida, Poales, Poaceae.
GUGAUUGCUUCGCUCGCCUCCUCCACCACCAGACACCAGCCCAAACUACCUCGCCAGCUCCCUCUGCCUCCCCCUCCCUCCUCCCGUCGCCGCAGCACGCAGCUCCGCCGGUUUUCACGGCUUGGAGCAGAUCUGCCACGCCACCGCCGCGUAGACCAACUUGGUGGAGGGAUCCCGUCCGAAUCUGAUUCCUAUUCUCCAGCUCGACCGCUGUAGCGAGAGGAGAGAGAGAAAGGAGCAGUGGCGACGAGGUCUAUGGCAUCGAUGGCAGCGUACCUGGCCUGGCUCGGCGGGCGGCGCAGAAGAAGUGGGUGCACCUGCUUUACCACACGGCGCUCAACUUCCACCGCCACCUCUUCUACCAGGAAAUCAGUUCCCCCAAUCCUCCCCUCUUCGCCUCCCUUUUGAUCUCGAUCUGCCUUCCUGCUCGCGGACGGGACUGGCCUUGUGUUGUCUCUCCCGCGCAGGCGUCAGAUCUCCUCGACAAGUUUGAGACCAACUGCCACGUGGUUUCUUUAGGGGUAUUCACUGAAGGCGACAGCUGAUCGUCAUUCAUAGAUUGCAAGCAAUAGGGGAAAGUCACUUCAUCCAAAUAAUGGUCAUUGCCUUUUCUUCAGAAUGCUCUAUUUACCUAUUUGUAAUUACUCCCCUCUCAUCUGACAUGUAGAGUAUUUGACAUAUUCGUUGUAUUAGAGAGUUUGACAUGUUCGUUGUAUAAUAUGAUUUUAUCGAUCUUGAUAUAUAUUUGAAUGGUUGAGCGCCCGAUAGGGCGCUUUC